GACGAACGCUGGCGGCGUGCUUAACACAUGCAAGUCGAGCGAUGAAGUUUCUUCGGAAAUGGAUUAGCGGCGAACGGGUGAGUAACACGUGAGGAAUCUGCCCUUCACUUUGGAAUAACUCCGGGAAACCGGAGCUAAUACCGGAUACGAACUCUGGCGGCAUCGCCGGGGUUGGAAAGUUUUUCGGUGAAGGAUGACCUCGCGGCCUAUCAGCUUGUUGGUGAGGUAAUGGCUCACCAAGGCGACGACGGGUAGCCGGCCGGAGAGGGCGACCGGCCACACUGGGACUGGGACCCGGCCGAGACUCCUACGGGAGGCAGCAGUGGGGAAUAUUGGGCAAUGGGUGAAAGCCUGACCCAGCGACGCCGCGUGCGGGAUGAAGGCCUUCGGGUUGUAAACCGCUUUCAGCGGGGAAGAAGCGAAAGUGACGGUACCUGAAGAAGAAGCACCGGCUAACUAUGUGCCAGCCGCCGCCGUAA
This 479-nucleotide ribosomal RNA is filed under the name uncultured bacterium. RNAcentral describes it as "partial 16S ribosomal RNA". It matches the Rfam family "Bacterial small subunit ribosomal RNA", at positions 28 to 523 of the family's 1533-position model. The record is from RNAcentral.